This 239-nucleotide ribosomal RNA is filed under the name Klebsiella pneumoniae. RNAcentral's name for it is "partial 23S ribosomal RNA". It matches the Rfam family "Bacterial large subunit ribosomal RNA", at positions 1 to 244 of the family's 2925-position model. The record is from RNAcentral. Lineage: Bacteria; Pseudomonadati; Pseudomonadota; Gammaproteobacteria; Enterobacterales; Enterobacteriaceae.
AAGCGACUAAGCGUACACGGUGGAUGCCCUGGCAGUCAGAGGCGAUGAAGGACGUGCUAAUCUGCGAAAAGCGUCGGUAAGGUGAUAUGAACCGUUACAACCGGCGAUGUCCGAAUGGGGAAACCCAGUGUGAUUCGUCACACUAUCGUUAACUGAAUACAUAGGUUAACGAGGCGAACCGGGGGAACUGAAACAUCUAAGUACCCCGAGGAAAAGAAAUCAACCGAGAUUCCCCCAGU